Molecule: ribosomal RNA, 128 nt
Filed under: uncultured eukaryote
Lineage: Eukaryota
Description: partial small subunit ribosomal RNA
Rfam family: Eukaryotic small subunit ribosomal RNA
Source: RNAcentral
CCCUGCCAUUUGUACACACCGCCCGUCGCUACUACCGAUUGAAUGGCUUAGUGAGGCCUCCGGAUUGGCUAUUGGAAUCCCGCGAGGGAAUCUAACUGCCGAGAAGUUGUACGAACUUGGUCAUUUAG